UUAUAAAAAAUACUUAAUAAAUCAGAAUAUGUCAUAAUCAACAAUUGGAUAUACUGUUCAUAUAUCAUAUGUGAUUAUUUUUAUAGUUAAAGGCAAAGUUGGAGUUGCAUUUUAGGGAGAAUGAACUCGCACAGAAUUAUUACUUGCAAUUUACUAAUCAAAAACCGUAGAAACCGGGCGAAGAUUCGCAACGCUGGGCACGGAUUUGGAAUGUCUAUCGCAUAAGAUCUACUCCAAACGUUCGCACGAGGUACGCGGUAAAAUUGCAUGUUCUCAGUUCGUCACCAUGUUGACCGACGGUUUCGUUAAGCGCUUCCUUCGGAUAGAAAAGAUGGCGUUGCUUAGAAUAAUUAUUGAACAGGCGAAAACGUUUAUUUAAAA
Long non-coding RNA from Monomorium pharaonis (pharaoh ant), 381 nucleotides. RefSeq lists it as uncharacterized. Lineage: Eukaryota; Metazoa; Arthropoda; Insecta; Hymenoptera; Formicidae. The transcript is spliced from 2 exons. The record is from RefSeq and is a predicted model, not a curated record.